This 402-nucleotide ribosomal RNA is filed under the name uncultured bacterium. RNAcentral's name for it is "bacterial SSU rRNA". It matches the Rfam family "Bacterial small subunit ribosomal RNA", at positions 36 to 428 of the family's 1533-position model. The record is from RNAcentral.
AGCGAACGUUUUGCGGCGGGCUUAACACAUGCAAGUCGAACGGGCUGUUCCUUCGGGGGCAGUCAGUGGCGCACGGGUGCGUAACACGUAGGUAAUCAACCCUCUGGUUGGGGAUAACACUUCGAAAGGAGUGCUAAUACCCGGUAUGGCGCAGCGGUCUUCGGAUCGCGGCGAGAAAGACCCGCAAGGGUUGCCAGAGGACGAGCCUGCGGCCCAUCAGCUAGUUGGCGAGGUAACGGCUCACCAAGGCGAAGACGGGUAGCUGGUCUGAGAGGAUGAUCAGCCACACUGGAACUGAGACACGGUCCAGACUCCUACGGGAGGCAGCAGUGGGGAAUAUUGCGCAAUGGGCGAAAGCCUGACGCAGCCACGCCGCGUGAGCGAUGAAGGCCUCGGUCGUAA